GGGGAAUUAGGGUNCNAUUCCGGAGAGGGAGCCUGAGAAACGGCUACCACUUCCAAGGAAGGCAGCAGGCGCGCAAAUUACCCAAUCCCGACACGGGGAGGUAGUGACAAUAAAUAACAAUACGGGGCUCUUUCGGGUCUCGUAAUUGGAAUGAGUACAAUUUAAAUCCCUUAACGAGGAACAAUUGGAGGGCAAGUCUGGUGCCAGCAGCCGCGGUAAUUCCAGCUCCAAUAGCGUAUAUUAAAGUUGUUGCAGUUAAAAAGCUCGUAGUUGAAUUUCGGGAUUGACGUGAUGGUCGUGCCUUAAGGGGUAUGAACUGUCGCAGUUGAUUUCUCACCUUCUGGAGAGGCAUGAUGUCCUUAAUUGGGUGUCAUGUGGAACCAGGACCUUUACCUUGAAAAAAUUAGAGUGUUUAAAGCAGGCAUUUUGCUCGAAUACAUUAGCAUGGAAUAAUAGAAUAGGACGGCAUGGUUCUAUUUUGUUGGUUUCUAGGAUCACCGUAAUGAUUAAUAGGGAUAGUUGGGGGCAUUAGUAUUCAAUUGUCAGAGGUGAAAUUCUUGGAUUUAUUGAAGACUAACUACUGCGAAAGCAUUUGCCAAGGAUGUUUUCAUUAAUCAAGAACGAAAGUUAGGGGAUCGAAGAUGAUCAGAUACCGUCGUAG
This 661-nucleotide ribosomal RNA is filed under the name uncultured fungus. RNAcentral describes it as "SSU rRNA". It matches the Rfam family "Eukaryotic small subunit ribosomal RNA", at positions 364 to 1023 of the family's 1831-position model. Lineage: Eukaryota; Fungi. The record is from RNAcentral.